GACGAACGCUGGCGGCGUGCUUAACACAUGCAAGUCGAACGGAAAGGCCCUGCUUUUGUGGGGUGCUCGAGUGGCGAACGGGUGAGUAACACGUGAGUAACCUGCCCUUGACUUUGGGAUAACUUCAGGAAACUGGGGCUAAUACCGGAUAGGAGCUCCUGCUGCAUGGUGGGGGUUGGAAAGUUUCGGCGGUUGGGGAUGGACUCGCGGCUGAUCAGCUUGUUGGUGGGGUAGUGGCUUACCAAGGCUUUGACGGGUAGCCGGCCUGAGAGGGUGACCGGCCACAUUGGGACUGAGAUACGGCCCAGACUCCUACGGGAGGCAGCAGUGGGGAAUAUUGCACAAUGGGCGGAAGCCUGAUGCAGCAACGCCGCGUGCGGGAUGACGGCCUUCGGGUUGUAACCCGCUUUCGCCUGUGACGAAGCGUGAGUGACGGUAAUGGGUAAAGAAGCACCGGCUAACUACGUG
RNAcentral lists this ribosomal RNA (468 nucleotides) under uncultured bacterium. RNAcentral's name for it is "partial 16S ribosomal RNA". It matches the Rfam family "Bacterial small subunit ribosomal RNA", at positions 28 to 507 of the family's 1533-position model. The record is from RNAcentral.